RNAcentral lists this ribosomal RNA (823 nucleotides) under Kocuria rhizophila. RNAcentral describes it as "bacterial SSU rRNA". It matches the Rfam family "Bacterial small subunit ribosomal RNA", at positions 352 to 1183 of the family's 1533-position model. Lineage: Bacteria; Bacillati; Actinomycetota; Actinomycetes; Micrococcales; Micrococcaceae. The record is from RNAcentral.
CAGUGGGGAAUAUUGCACAAUGGGCGGAAGCCUGAUGCAGCGACGCCGCGUGAGGGAUGACGGCCUUCGGGUUGUAAACCUCUUUCAGCACGGAAGAAGCGAAAGUGACGGUACGUGCAGAAGAAGCGCCGGCUAACUACGUGCCAGCAGCCGCGGUAAUACGUAGGGCGCAAGCGUUGUCCGGAAUUAUUGGGCGUAAAGAGCUCGUAGGCGGUUUGUCGCGUCUGCUGUGAAAGCCCGGGGCUUAACCCCGGGUGUGCAGUGGGUACGGGCAGACUUGAGUGCAGUAGGGGAGACUGGAAUUCCUGGUGUAGCGGUGAAAUGCGCAGAUAUCAGGAGGAACACCGAUGGCGAAGGCAGGUCUCUGGGCUGUUACUGACGCUGAGGAGCGAAAGCAUGGGGAGCGAACAGGAUUAGAUACCCUGGUAGUCCAUGCCGUAUACGUUGGGCACUAGGUGUGGGGAACAUUCCACGUUUUCCGCGCCGUAGCUAACGCAUUAAGUGCCCCGCCUGGAGAGUACGGCCGCAAGGCUAACACUCAGAGGAAUUGACGGGGGCCCGCACAAGCGGCGGAGCAUGCGGAUUAAUUCGAUGCAACGCGAAGAACCUUACCAAGGCUUGACAUACACCGGACCGGGCCAGAGAUGGUCUUUCCCCCUUGUGGGGCUGGUGUACAGGUGGUGCAUGGUUGUCGUCAGCUCGUGUCGUGAGAUGUUGGGUUAAGUCCCGCAACGAGCGCAACCCUCGUUCUAUGUUGCCAGCACGUGAUGGUGGGGACUCAUAGGAGACUGCCGGGGUCAACUCGGANGAAGGUGGGGAUGAC